RNAcentral lists this ribosomal RNA (700 nucleotides) under uncultured bacterium. RNAcentral's name for it is "bacterial SSU rRNA". It matches the Rfam family "Bacterial small subunit ribosomal RNA", at positions 8 to 695 of the family's 1533-position model. The record is from RNAcentral.
AGAGUUUGAUCAUGGCUCAGGAUGAACGCUAGCGGCAGGCUUAAUACAUGCAAGUCGUGGGGCAGCAUGUCCCGCAGCAAUGCGGGAUGAUGGCGACCGGCAAACGGGUGCGGAACACGUACACAACCUUCCUUUAAGUGGGGGAUAGCCCAGGGAAACUUGGAUUAAUACCCCGUAAUAUAUAGAAGCGGCAUCGCUUUUAUAUUAUAGCAGCAAUGCGCUUGAAGAUGGGUGUGCGGCUGAUUAGAUAGUUGGCGGGGUAACGGCCCACCAAGUCGACGAUCAGUAACUGGUGUGAGAGCACGACCAGUCACACGGGCACUGAGACACGGGCCCGACUCCUACGGGAGGCAGCAGUAAGGAAUAUUGGUCAAUGGACGCAAGUCUGAACCAGCCAUGCCGCGUGGAGGAUGAAGGUCCUCUGGAUUGUAAACUUCUUUUAUCUGGGAAGAAAUCCAUUUUUUCUAAAGUGGUUGACGGUACCAGAUGAAUAAGCACCGGCUAACUCCGUGCCAGCAGCCGCGGUAAUACGGAGGGUGCAAGCGUUAUCCGGAUUCACUGGGUUUAAAGGGUGCGUAGGCGGACAAGUAAGUCAGUGGUGAAAUCUCUGGGCUUAACUCAGAAACUGCCGUUGAUACUAUUUGUCUUGAAUAUCAUGGAGGUAAGCGGAAUAUGUCAUGUAGCGGUGAAAUGCUUAGAU